RNAcentral lists this unclassified non-coding RNA (1468 nucleotides) under uncultured fungus. RNAcentral describes it as "sequence contains 18S rRNA gene, ITS1, 5.8S rRNA gene, ITS2, 28S rRNA gene". The record is from RNAcentral. Lineage: Eukaryota; Fungi.
CACGAUCAACGUGUUGGUGCGCGGAUCCGCGGUGAAACGCAGUUCCUGACCGACAGUGGCCAGGUCCAGGUCUUUCACCUUGUCGCCAAACACCAACUGGCUCUGAGCUUCGCCCUCACCGCCGCCGGUUCCGCCCUCGGUCUGAAACAGCUCCUUCAGGCGAUCGACCAUCGUCUCCGCAUCGCUGUUGACCAGGUUGAAGAGGCGGAUUUCGGAGGUCACGGGGCGGAUACGAUCAAAGUCACGGAUCAUGGCUUCGAGCAUGACCAUACUGUCCGCGGGGCCAUGACCAUCAACGAAUUCGUCCGGGGGUCCGGCUGAAUCUUGAUAUCCUGCCGGAGCAGCUUCCGCAUCACUUCGCGGCCGCGCUCGUCAGUGUCCAGGAACGAGACGAUGACCGCCUUUUCAUCGUCGCCGCCGGAGUCCUCGCCGAUGAUCGUGUCUUCCAACAGUUUGGCGAAGUCCUCGGCAAGGGCCUGCUUGAGCUGGAUCACCUUGACCAUCAUCUCCACCACCGGGGUCGAGGUAUCCAACCGGGAAAUCACGUCGCGGAUGUUGACCAUCUCCGACGGAGAGGCCCACACAAUGAUCGAAUUGGUGCGCUCGUCCGCGACGGUGGAAAUCGCGUCCGCUCGGCCCGUGGAGCCUUCCGCCUGGGACUUGAACAGAUUCUCCAGCGUUUCCGCCACCUUGGCGGCCUUGGCCAGCCUGAGCGGGAAAAUCUCGAAAUUCCGCGACAAGCUCGACGGCUGGUCCAAGAGGGACAACAAGUCUUGAAUGACCACGUGAUCAUCGCGAGAAGCGCUGGCGAUCAGACUGUUCGACGAUUCCUCCGCCAAGAUGACAAUCGGCGUUCGCUGCUGUUCCUCACCCUCCGCCCGGUUGUCAAAGAGCUCUUGCAUGCGCGGGGCGAGCUUGCCGGCCGAACCGUGGUGCAAGGGAUAGACCUUGAACGCCGCCGUCAGCGGUCCGGACUCCACGUCGAGCCGCUUGACCACUUCCGAAACCCGCUCCAUGGAAUCGCGCGUGCCCGCGACGAUGAUCGCGUUGCUCCGCGGAUCGGGGAUGACCGUCGGGGCCUUGAAUGUUUCGGAGGCGCCCUGAAUACCCUCAAAGAGCUUGGUCAGCAUGUCGGAGACGACGGUGGUGUCAGCGUACUCAAGUUUGAAAAGCUGGAUGUCAUCGAUUCGCGGCUGGGAUUCAAGCGUGUCCACCAGGCGCUUGAUUUCAUCAAAGUCCUCGACGCUCGAAGCAAUGACCAGCGUGUUACUCCGAUCGUCGACAACCACGAUCGGAAGGUCUUCGAUCAUCUCCUCCUCGCGGCGGAGGUCGGCCUUGCGCUUCCACAGGUCUUCAAUCUUCGUCUUGAGGUCGGCGGCGUUGAGCAAUCCGCAGCGAACGAUCCGGAUCUGGUCGAACAGCCUGCCCGGCUUGGUGUCGAGUUGACGGACGAUCGAUUCGAUUUCGG